Molecule: ribosomal RNA, 765 nt
Filed under: uncultured bacterium
Lineage: Bacteria
Description: bacterial SSU rRNA
Rfam family: Bacterial small subunit ribosomal RNA
Source: RNAcentral
AGAGGGGGUUUGAUCCUGGCUCAGAUUGAACGCUGGCGGCAGGCCUAACACAUGCAAGUCGAGCGCGAAAGCCUUUCGGGGUGAGUAGAGCGGCGGACGGGUGAGUAACGCGUAGGAAUCUACCUGGUAGUGGGGGACAACUUGGGGAAACCCAAGCUAAUACCGCAUACGCCCUAAGGGGGAAAGCGGGGGAUCUUCGGACCUCGCGCUAUUGGAUGAGCCUGCGUAGGAUUAGCUUGUUGGUGAGGUAAAGGCUCACCAAGGCGACGAUCCUUAGCUGGUCUGAGAGGAUGAUCAGCCACACUGGAACUGAGACACGGUCCAGACUCCUACGGGAGGCAGCAGUGGGGAAUAUUGCGCAAUGGGGGCAACCCUGACGCAGCCAUGCCGCGUGUGUGAAGAAGGCCUUAGGGUUGUAAAGCACUUUCAAUUGGGAAGAAAAGCUUAACGUUAAUAGCGUUGAGCCCUGACAUUACCUUUAGAAGAAGCACCGGCUAACUCCGUGCCAGCAGCCGCGGUAAUACGGAGGGUGCGAGCGUUAAUCGGAAUUACUGGGCGUAAAGCGCGCGUAGGCGGUUUGUUAAGUCAGCUGUGAAAGCCCUGGGCUCAACCUGGGAACUGCAGUUGAUACUGGCCGACUAGAGUACGAGAGAGGGAGGUAGAAUUCCAUGUGUAGCGGUGAAAUGCGUAGAUAUAUGGAGGAAUACCAGUGGCGAAGGCGGCCUCCUGGCUCGAUACUGACGCUGAGGUGCGAAAGCGUGGGGA